CAGCAGCCGCGGUAAUACGUAGGUGGCAAGCGUUGUCCGGAAUUAUUGGGCGUAAAGGGCUCGCAGGCGGUUUCUUAAGUCUGAUGUGAAAGCCCCCGGCUCAACCGGGGAGGGUCAUUGGAAACUGGGAAACUUGAGUGCAGAAGAGGAGAGUGGAAUUCCACGUGUAGCGGUGAAAUGCGUGGAGAUGAGGAGGAACACCAGUGGCGAAGGCGACUCUCUGGUCUGUAACUGACGCUGAGGAGCGAAAGCGUGGGGAGCGAACAGGAUUAGAUACCCCGGUAGUCCCUGUCUCUUAUAC
This 301-nucleotide ribosomal RNA is filed under the name uncultured bacterium. Its description in RNAcentral is "partial 16S ribosomal RNA". It matches the Rfam family "Bacterial small subunit ribosomal RNA", at positions 509 to 807 of the family's 1533-position model. The record is from RNAcentral.